AGCUGUCAAAAUGCUUCCUUCGUCUAUUGGAAAUCUAAUUACUCUUCAAACUUUAGACCUUAGUGGCUGCAAGCACCUUGUGAGUCUACCAACCAACAUUUGUAGGUUGAAAAAUCUGAAGGAACUCAAUCUCUAUGGCUGCUUUGAACUUGAAAAAUUCCCAGAGAUCUUGGAGCCAAUGGAACAUUUGGUGUCUCUUCGUUUGCAAGGGACAGCUGUCAAAAUGCUUCCUUCGUCUAUUGGAAAUCUAAUUACUCUUCAAACUUUAGACCUUAGUGGCUGCAAGCACCUUGUGAGUCUACCAACCAACAUUUGUAAGUUGAAAAAUCUGAAGGAACUCAAUCUCUAUGGCUGCUCUGAACUUGAAAAAUUCCCAAAGAUCUUGGAGCCAAUGGAACAUUUGGUGUCUCUUCGUUUGCAAGGGACAGCUGUCAAAAUGCUUCCUUCGUCUAUUGGAAAUCUAAUUAGUCUUCCAACUUUAGACCUUAGUGGCUGCAAGCACCUUGUGAGUCUACCAACCAACAUUUGUAAGUUGAAAAAUCUGAAGCAACUCAAUCUCUCUGGCUGCUUUGAACUUGAAAACUUCCCAGAGAUCUUGGAGCCAAUGGAACAUUUGGUGUCUCUUUGUUUGCAAGGGACAGCUGUCAAAAUGCUUCCUUCGUCUAUUGGAAAUCUAAUUAGUCUUCAAACUUUAGACCUUUGUGGCUGCAAGCACCUUGUGAAUCUACCAACCAACAUUUGUAAGUUGAAAUAUCUGGAGGAACUCAAUCUCUCUGGCUGCUCUGAACUUGAAAACUUCCCAGAGAUCUUGGAGCCAAUGGAACAUUUGGUGUCUCUUAGUUUGCAAGGGGCAGCUGUCAAAAUGCUUCCUUCGUCUAUUGGAAAUCUAAUUAGUCUUCAAACUUUAGACCUUCGUGGCUGCAAGCACCUUGUGAGUCUACCAACCAACAUUUGUAAGUUGAAAUAUCUGGAGGAACUCAAUCUCUCUGGCUGCUCUGAACUUGAAAACUUCCCAGAGAUCAUAAAGCCAAUGGAACAUUUGAAGUACUUAAAUUUAAGUGGAACAACGGUUA
This 1073-nucleotide long non-coding RNA is filed under the name Malus domestica (apple). RNAcentral's name for it is "long non-coding RNA (MDOM_LNC004926)". Lineage: Eukaryota; Viridiplantae; Streptophyta; Magnoliopsida; Rosales; Rosaceae. The record is from RNAcentral.